Molecule: ribosomal RNA, 382 nt
Filed under: uncultured eukaryote
Lineage: Eukaryota
Description: SSU rRNA
Rfam family: Eukaryotic small subunit ribosomal RNA
Source: RNAcentral
AGCUCCAAUAGCGUAUAUUAAAGUUGUUGCAGUUAAAAAGCUCGUAGUUGGAUCUCAGGCUCCGGCUGGCGGUUCACUUCACGGUGACUACUGCCCGUCCGGACCUACCCGCCGGUUUUCCCUUGGUGCUCUUUGUUGAGUGUCUCGGGUGGCCGGAACGUUUACUUUGAAAAAAUUAGAGUGUUCAAAGCAGGCCGUGAAGCCUGAAUAAUGGUGCAUGGAAUAAUGGAAUAGGACCUCGGUUCUAUUUUGUUGGUUUUCGGAACUUGAGGUAAUGAUUAAGAGGGACAGACGGGGGCAUUCGUAUUACGGUGUUAGAGGUGAAAUUCUUGGAUCGCCGUAAGACGAACUACUGCGAAAGCAUUUGCCAAGAAUGUUUUCA